This 478-nucleotide ribosomal RNA is filed under the name uncultured bacterium. RNAcentral describes it as "partial 16S ribosomal RNA". It matches the Rfam family "Bacterial small subunit ribosomal RNA", at positions 28 to 523 of the family's 1533-position model. The record is from RNAcentral.
GACGAACGCUGGCGGCGUGCUUAACACAUGCAAGUCGAACGGUAAGGCCCUUCGGGGUACACGAGUGGCGAACGGGUGAGUAACACGUGGGUGAUCUGCCCUGCACUUCGGGAUAAGCCUGGGAAACUGGGUCUAAUACCGGAUAGGACCACUGCCUGCAUGGGUGGUGGUGGAAAGCUUUUGCGGUGUGGGAUGGGCCCGCGGCCUAUCAGCUUGUUGGUGGGGUGAUGGCCUACCAAGGCGACGACGGGUAGCCGGCCUGAGAGGGUGACCGGCAACACUGGGACUGAGAUACGGCCCAGACUCCUACGGGAGGCAGCAGUGGGGAAUAUUGCACAAUGGGCGCAAGCCUGAUGCAGCGAUGCCGCGUGAGGGAUGACGGCCUUCGGGUUGUAAACCUCUUUCAGCACCGACGAAGCGCAAGUGACGGUAGGUGCAGAAGAAGGACCGGCCAACUACGUGCCAGCAGCCGCCGUAA